This 253-nucleotide ribosomal RNA is filed under the name uncultured bacterium. RNAcentral describes it as "partial 16S ribosomal RNA". It matches the Rfam family "Bacterial small subunit ribosomal RNA", at positions 524 to 776 of the family's 1533-position model. The record is from RNAcentral.
UACGUAGGGUGCAAGCGUUGUCCGGAAUUAUUGGGCGUAAAGAGCUCGUAGGCGGUUUGUUGCGUCGGCUGUGAAAUCCCGAGGCUCAACCUCGGGUCUGCAGUCGAUACGAGCAAACUAGAGUGUUGCAGGGGAGACUGGAAUUCCUGGUGCAGCGGUGAAAUGCGCAGAUAUCAGGAGGAACACCGGUGGCGAAGGCGGCAUCCUGGACCAAUAUUGACGCUGAGGAGCGAAAGCUAGGGGAGCAAACGGG